RNAcentral lists this ribosomal RNA (486 nucleotides) under uncultured bacterium. Its description in RNAcentral is "bacterial SSU rRNA". It matches the Rfam family "Bacterial small subunit ribosomal RNA", at positions 28 to 507 of the family's 1533-position model. The record is from RNAcentral.
GAUGAACGCUAGCGACAGGCUUAACACAUGCAAGUCGAGGGGCAGCGAGGGCGUAGCAAUACGCCUGUCGGCGACCGGCGCACUGGUGAGUAACACGUAUGCGACCUGCCCCCUACAGGGGUAUAACCCGUAGAAAUGCGGACUAAUCCCCCAUAGUCCUGGGUGCUGCAUGGCAUUCAGGGGAAAGGGUUUCCGGUAGGGGAUGGGCAUGCGGCGCAUUAGCUAGUUGGCGGGGCAACGGCCCACCAAGGCGACGAUGCGUAGGGGUUCUGAGAGGAAGGUCCCCCACACUGGUACUGAGACACGGACCAGACUCCUACGGGAGGCAGCAGUGAGGAAUAUUGGUCAAUGGGCGCAGGCCUGAACCAGCCAAGUCGCGUGAGGGAAGACGGUCCUACGGAUUGUAAACCUCUUUUGUCGGGGAGUAACGUGCGGGACGCGUCCCGUAUUGAGAGUACCCGAAGAAAAGCAUCGGCUAACUCCGUG